GGCACUUUGGCGGAGUGGUUAACGCGAUGGCCUGCUACUUUAAGCCUUUAAAGAGCAAGACAGCCAUUUCCUUCGGGAGCGAGUGUUCGAAUCACUCAGGUGUCG
This 105-nucleotide transfer RNA is filed under the name Cadophora malorum. It matches the Rfam family "tRNA". From Rfam's summary of the family: Transfer RNA (tRNA) molecules are approximately 80 nucleotides in length. Their secondary structure includes four short double-helical elements and three loops (D, anti-codon, and T loops). The record is from Rfam by way of RNAcentral. Lineage: Eukaryota; Fungi; Ascomycota; Leotiomycetes; Helotiales; Ploettnerulaceae.